GACGAACGCUGGCGGCGUGCUUAACACAUGCAAGUCGAGCGAGAAAAGUCUUCGGACUUUUUCUAGCGGCGGACGGGUGAGUAACACGUGGGCAACCUGCCCAUAAGAGGGGAUAACAUCCGGAAACGGGUGCUAAUACCGCAUAGGUUUCUGGUCGCAUGAUCGAGAAAGGAAAGACGGCCUUUGNGCUGUCGCUUAUGGAUGGGACCCGNGGCUAUUAGUUAGUUGGUGAGGUAAUGGCUCACC
This 246-nucleotide ribosomal RNA is filed under the name uncultured bacterium. Its description in RNAcentral is "partial 16S ribosomal RNA". It matches the Rfam family "Bacterial small subunit ribosomal RNA", at positions 28 to 269 of the family's 1533-position model. The record is from RNAcentral.